AUUACUCCUACGGGAGGCAGCAGUGGGGAAUAUUGGACAAUGGGCGAAAGCCUGAUCCAGCAAUGCCGCGUGAGUGAUGAAGGCCUUAGGGUUGUAAAGCUCUUUUACCCGGGAUGAUAAUGACAGUACCGGGAGAAUAAGCUCCGGCUAACUCCGUGCCAGCAGCCGCGGUAAUAAU
Molecule: ribosomal RNA, 178 nt
Filed under: uncultured bacterium
Lineage: Bacteria
Description: partial 16S ribosomal RNA
Rfam family: Bacterial small subunit ribosomal RNA
Source: RNAcentral